RNAcentral lists this ribosomal RNA (739 nucleotides) under uncultured Corynebacterium sp. RNAcentral describes it as "bacterial SSU rRNA". It matches the Rfam family "Bacterial small subunit ribosomal RNA", at positions 28 to 776 of the family's 1533-position model. The record is from RNAcentral. Lineage: Bacteria; Bacillati; Actinomycetota; Actinomycetes; Mycobacteriales; Corynebacteriaceae.
GACGAACGCUGGCGGCGUGCUUAACACAUGCAAGUCGAACGGAAAGGCCCUGCUUGCAGGGUGCUCGAGUGGCGAACGGGUGAGUAACACGUGGGUGAUCUGCCCCUUACUUUGGGAUAAGCCUGGGAAACUGGGUCUAAUACUGGAUAGGACCAUGCUGUAGGUGGUGUGGUGGAAAGAUUAGUUUCGGUAAGGGAUGAGCUCGCGGCCUAUCAGCUUGUUGGUGGGGUAAUGGCCUACCAAGGCGUCGACGGGUAGCCGGCCUGAGAGGGUGGACGGCCACAUUGGGACUGAGAUACGGCCCAGACUCCUACGGGAGGCAGCAGUGGGGAAUAUUGCACAAUGGGCGCAAGCCUGAUGCAGCGACGCCGCGUGGGGGAUGACGGCCUUCGGGUUGUAAACUCCUUUCAGCCAUGACGAAGCCCUUGUGGUGACGGUAGUGGUAGAAGAAGCACCGGCUAACUACGUGCCAGCAGCCGCGGUAAUACGUAGGGUGCGAGCGUUGUCCGGAAUUACUGGGCGUAAAGAGCUCGUAGGUGGUCUGUCGCGUCAUUUGUGGAAGUCCGGGGCUUAACUCCGGGUUGGCAGGUGAUACGGGCAUGACUGGAGUACUGUAGGGGAGACUGGAAUUCCUGGUGUAGCGGUGAAAUGCGCAGAUAUCAGGAGGAACACCGGUGGCGAAGGCGGGUCUCUGGGCAGUAACUGACGCUGAGGAGCGAAAGCAUGGGUAGCGAACAGG